RNAcentral lists this microRNA precursor (85 nucleotides) under Paramuricea clavata. The record is from RNAcentral. Lineage: Eukaryota; Metazoa; Cnidaria; Anthozoa; Malacalcyonacea; Plexauridae.
UAUGCCUGUUCGCGGGUUAGGUAGUGGCAUGCCUGUUCGUGGGUUAGGUAGUGGCAUGCCACUACCUAACCCGCGAACAGGCAUA